This 253-nucleotide ribosomal RNA is filed under the name uncultured bacterium. Its description in RNAcentral is "partial 16S ribosomal RNA". It matches the Rfam family "Bacterial small subunit ribosomal RNA", at positions 524 to 776 of the family's 1533-position model. The record is from RNAcentral.
CACGUAGGGCGCAAGCGUUGUCCGGAAUUAUUGGGCGUAAAGAGCUCGUAGGCGGUCUGUUGCGUCCGCUGUGAAAACUCGGGGCUUAACCCCGAGCCUGCAGUGGAUACGGGCAGACUAGAGGUAGGUAGGGGAGAAUGGAAUUCCGCGUGUAGCAGUGAAAUGCGUAGAUAUGCGGAGGAACACCGAUGGCGAAGGCAAUCCCCUGGGCCUGCACUGACGCUCAUGCACGAAAGCGUGGGGAGCAAGCAGG